UAAAUGCGGAUGAAAUUAGUAUAGCUGGAGCAGAAGAUAAUAACUACAAUGAUUUAUAUAAUGACAACGACAUGAAUAAUCAAUUACUUAUGGAUAUAUCUGGUAUCAAUUCAUUAGGUUUUGACAACGACAAUAAUGAUUUCAUAAACAAUAAUAUGAUGAAUAGUAAUAACUAUCAGUCGUAUAAUAUGGAAAAUGUGUUAGAUGGUUCGUAUUUAUCACGCAACAGUAUUCAGUCUAAUCAAUUUGAUAAUUUACAUUUAAAUAGAUCUUUAUCACAGUCUUUUCACCCUAUGGAUAGUUUAAAUAUAGAUAAUUCAUUAUUAAAUAAUAUGAUUCCUAAAAAUGCUUUUAAUAAUGCAGAAAACAGUUUAAAUGAAAAGAGUAUGUUAGGAGGUGAAUAUAACAACUUAGACUUGAACGAUUUACAUAAAACGGAUGAUGGUCAUAUAGGAUCGAUGAAUAUAUGCAAUGAUAUGGAACGUGACAAUAUGAAUAAUAGUAAUACUAAUAUGAAUUUUAUAAAUGAUCAAACCAAAAGGGCAAGUGUUAUGAGUAAUAGUAAUGCUUUUCAAAUGAAUAAUCCUUUUAAUGACAUAAGUGCUCAUCAUCCAAAUGAGCCUGGUUUAGGUUUUAGAAGAAGUAGGUUGAGUAUCGAUAGUAAUAACAUGAAUAAUGAAGACAUGAUGAAUAAUGUUAAUAUUGAUGGUGGGUUAAAUGUGUCUAGUAAUUUUGAAAAGUUUGGAACGACUGGUCUUAAUGACAAAAUGUAUGGUAAUAAUUUUGUUGGAGGUAUUAGUAGUAGGAUGCGCACGUCCGUAACUCCCAGAGGAGAUGAUUUUUAUAAUUUGAAUCCAUAUAUGAAUUCAAUGAGCAUGCACGGUUCAAAUCAUAAUAACAUUAAUCUUAUGAAUAAUUAUCAACAUCAACAAUUUACACAAAGAAUGCACAUAAACAAUUUUAAUGACAUUGACGAUACCGGAAGUAAUAAUGUUAUGAUGGGAAGUAUGUUUAGUUUAAUGAAAAAAAAGAAAAUACCAAAAAAAAAUGAUUUCACAAAUUUAUUAAAUUAUGAAACGUAUCAUAAUUUUGAUUACUUUGAUCAGAAGGAUGAUUGUGCCUUUAUUCAGAAGUUGAAUGCUUUGCUCGGUUUAGAUGAGAUCGAAAAGGAGGAUGCAACAAAGAAUGGUAAUCAGAAUUUGGAAGAAGAAGCGGAUGUAGGUAAACACAUAGAUGGUGAGCUUGCUACUGUGACACCUGGAAAAGAGGGCACUAGUAUAAAUAAUGAAUCAAGCGAAAAGCAAAAUGAAAAAAAUGAAAAAAAUGAAAAAAAUGGAAAAAAUGAGCCAUCCAAUAUGAACAAACAGCUAAGCGAAACAAUUUUAAACAAAGAAAAUGAACAAAAUGAAACAAACGAAGUGGCUAUUUUUAAUAAAAAUGAAAAUAGUACUACAACACCAAGUAUGAAAAAAAAAAAAUCAGAAAAACAUGUGGUUGAUAAAAACUGUGUCAUUAAAGAUAGACAACUUAAAAGUAUACUAAAAAACGAAAGUGUAGAUUAUAAAAAUUUUUUGGUUAAUAGCAUACAGAGUGAAAUAAAUGAAAAGAUACAAAAAGAAUAUCCAAUAUAUCAAUAUUUUUAUAUGCAUACAACUAAUGAAAAAAGUAUAAAACAUUUCCAAUUAUAUAAAUUUGAAACAAACUUUGGAUAUGAUUCAACAAAUCAUAAUGAAAGAAAGGAUGUACUAGAACAAUGUUUAAAUUAUUCGUUAAAUAAAAAAUAUGACUAUUAUGAGCAUAAAGAAAAAAAUGACAUCUAUUUGAUUGGGAGUGGAAGUAGCGACGACAAUAUUACCUCCCAAUGUACAACAAGCCACAUCGGUGUCGAUGACUAUAAUGAUGACUAUUUUUUAUAUAAUACAAAUGAACACACGUUUGAUAAUAAUCUGUUUUUAUCUUUUGGAAACGAACUAAACGGAAACGAACUAAAUGGAGACGAACUAAAUGGGGACGAACUAAACGGAGACGAACUAAACAGAGACGAAAUAAACGAAGAUAAUAGUAUGAAAAAUGAUAAUGAACAUAUGAACUUUGAAGAAGCAAGGGAACAAUUCAAUGACUUAGAAUAUGAUGCACAUAAUAUGAACCCAAGUAUGAACCCAAGUGAAUAUAAAAAUAGAUCCAGCUUAAUGGAUCCAAUGUUAUCUCAAAAUGAUUACUUGAAUGAUCUUCAUUUUAAAGAUACUAUCGAAUCAAAGAUGUUUUUGGAUAGUCAAAUGACAAAAAGUAUGAUAACAAGUAGAGAAGACAUAGAUGAUGAUAGUCAUUAUAAUAAUACAAGUGUUAAUAAAAAUGGUGAUAUAUCAAAUAUAAAUACUAUAAGUGAUAGAUUAAAUUGGGAAUUUAAUGAUAGUAAUUCUGUUGGACAUCCUAAUCUGUCCACUUCAUUAAAUAAUGAUAUAACUAAUAGUAACAUGUUUAGUAAAGAUAAUGAAAGCGAAUUACCCGAAGGGAAUAGAAAUGACAUAGAUGCAAGUGCAAGUGCAAGUGCAAAUGCAAGUGCGAGUGUUGCGAUGGAUGUAGAUGUUAAUAUAAACAUGAAUCAAGAUUUUGAUUGUUUAGCAAAAGAAUUAUUAGAAAAUUAUAAAAAAUUGUCUACACAAAUAAAUUAUAUUUUUUUUGACAUGAUUAUUAAAAAUGUACAGUCAAAAAAUGAUAUAGCAAUUUUAUUUUACACUACUUUACAUUUGGCAAAUAUGGGGCAUGUACAUAUUUUGCAGAAGCCUAUACUCCCGACUCAGU
Long non-coding RNA from Piliocolobus tephrosceles (Ugandan red Colobus), 2802 nucleotides. The record is from Ensembl. NCBI's taxonomy places the organism in Eukaryota, Metazoa, Chordata, Mammalia, Primates, Cercopithecidae.